This is a long non-coding RNA of Lates calcarifer (barramundi perch), 894 nucleotides long. RefSeq lists it as uncharacterized. Lineage: Eukaryota; Metazoa; Chordata; Actinopteri; Centropomidae. The transcript is spliced from 5 exons. The record is from RefSeq and is a predicted model, not a curated record.
UUGGCCACGACGUGGCUCCUCAUUGGCCAUGGCCGCAGAGGGGCGGAGAGACGAAGCCGGAAACAGUUUUAAACCAAGUUUGGACCGGUGCUUCUGUUUGUCAGUUCUGUGGGAAAACAGCGUUACUGAGGAGGUGUGGACGCUAAAACAAACUCUGGAGCUGAUUUUUUGUUUUCCACGAGAGAGACUGGACGCUGAAUACACCUUUGCCUGCGGCACGAAGAUGUUGUACUUUCACUGGUUCAGCUGCUGCAGCCUGGACAGAAACACCAGCUCUCACCUGACAAACCAAACAGGUGUCACCACUUCGUCCAUGAGAGUCUUCGUACAAUGAAGAAGUUGUUUGAGACCAGGACAGAGGCCUCCAGGUGUCACCACUUCAUCCACAACAUUGUCCACGAUCAAAGAAACUGGCCAUGACAAAAUCACAGUGACUGUGUUCUUCAUUUUGAAUGGAUUGUCCACGAUCACAGAGACAUUGUCCACGAUCACAGAGACAUUGUCCAGGAUCACAGAGACAUUGUCCACGAUCACAGAGAGUCUUUAUACGGUGAAGAAGUUGUUUGAGACCAGGACAGAGGCCUCCAGAUUCUCUCCAGGUGUCACCACUUCAUCCACAACAUUGUCCACGAUCAAAGAAACUGGCCAUGACAAAAUCACAGUGACUGUGUUCUUCAUUUUGAAUGGAUUGUCCACGAUCACAGAGACAUUGUCCACGAUCACAGAGACAUUGUCCAGGAUCACAGAGACAUUGUCCACGAUCACAGAGAGUCUUUAUACGGUGAAGAAGUUGUUUGAGACCAGGACAGAGGCCUCCAGGUAAUUCACAAACCGCUUUACAUCACCUGUCCAACACAGAGCACUGACAUUAAACUGUUUAUGUUCAGUAUAUCA